GGAAAAGGCUCUGCUGGCACACAAGGACUUGUGAUAUCACUGUGAUUCUGUUUCAUUUGCAACUGGAGACUAAAUGACACCAAGCAGAAUCUGCUGUUAGGUUAGAUUACAAGGACACUUUCUGAGACACACAAGACCAUGCAGGCUACAUCAUUAGUCUAUUAUUUCCUGCUUAUCUCUCUGUGCAUUCAUUUUUCUCAAAAUGAAACUAGUGCCCUUCCCAGGAGGCAAAGGAGAAGAAUACGCUACAGAGCAUUGGGAAGGAGGUUCUCAGCAGGGAACAGGGCCCCACGACAGCUGAGGAUGACGCCUCCAGCUCCUGCUGCUGUAGUACCCAGCAUACCUCUUAUUAACAUCGAUGACAGUGUUAUGGGAGUAUUUGACUCUCUCAUAGGUUUGGGUGGACAUGAAUCUAGUUACAGCAUCUUGCCAGGAAAGAAGGGGCACUGCACAGCUAAUGGGAUGAUUAUGUAUGAUAAAGCUGUCUGGUCUCCCAAGCCCUGCAUUACUUGUCUCUGUUCAAAAGGAGAAGUGAUAUGUGAUACAACCAUGUGCCACACUCUGAAAUGUUCCCAAACUGUUAUACCUGCAGGAGAAUGCUGCCCAGUUUGCUCUGAUACUG
Molecule: long non-coding RNA, 622 nt
Organism: Merops nubicus (carmine bee-eater)
Lineage: Eukaryota; Metazoa; Chordata; Aves; Coraciiformes; Meropidae
Exons: 4
Source: RefSeq, a predicted model, not a curated record